Molecule: ribosomal RNA, 468 nt
Filed under: uncultured bacterium
Lineage: Bacteria
Description: partial 16S ribosomal RNA
Rfam family: Bacterial small subunit ribosomal RNA
Source: RNAcentral
GACGAACGCUGGCGGCGUGCUUAACACAUGCAAGUCGAACGGAAAGGCCCUGCUUUUGUGGGGUGCUCGAGUGGCGAACGGGUGAGUAACACGUGAGUAACCUGCCCUUGACUUUGGGAUAACUUCAGGAAACUGGGGCUAAUACCGGAUAGGAGCUCCUGCUGCAUGGUGGGGGUUGGAAAGUUUCGGCGGUUGGGGAUGGACUCGCGGCUUAUCAGCUUGUUGGUGGGGUAGUGGCUUACCAAGACUUUGGCGGGUAGCCGGCCUGAGAGGGUGACCGGCCACAUUGGGACUGAAAUACGGCCCAGACUCCUACGGGAGGCAGCAGUGGGGAAUAUUGCACAAUGGGCGGAAGCCUGAUGCAGCAACGCCGCGUGCGGGAUGACGGCCUUCGGGUUGUAAACCGCUUUCGCCUGUGACGAAGCGUGAGUGACGGUAAUGGGUAAAGAAGCACCGGCUAACUACGUG